ACUAACUAAUGUUAAUAUUAUAAUAACCUUAUCAAGUAUACAAUUCUAUGAUGAAUUAUCAUCUUGACCAUGAAUGUGUAGAUAGCAUAUUCACGCUAGCUGUUCCCUUAUAAAGUUUAAGAAAUUAAGUUGAGUGUAAACCAAUUUUUGAUCAUGCCAGUGACCAGUGUAAAAUGUCAGUAAAUGUGCGCAGUUUUCUACAGUUCCGAAAAUAAUAGCUUCUCAAAAACACAGAGCUAAUUAGUACCUAUAUAAGGUAUAAGUUUAAUAUAUAUGUACCUACCUAUGUAAUUUAAUGAUUGUUCACUUACUUCAGGGUUCCUAUUUUUUUAAUCAAUGUUUAGAUGACUUGCUUUCUUCUUUUAAUGGACACGCGAAGAAUAAGUUUCUUGGAGAGCAAACAAAUAAGACAUUGGACAGCUGUCGAGCUGAAACUGCAGCAGGAGUAGACUGCGGAGCUCGUGACUGCGUAAUACUCGACAGAUGAACAUCGAAAUAUAUUAAAUUAGUUCAGCGCGGUGUUCAUAUACGGUCUUUCACACGUGGGCGUCGUCAUUCGAAUCUUCAUUUGAAAAAAAUAAUGAAUCCAUACACCAACGAUAAGCAGACAAGGCGGUCAAGUGCUGAGCAGAAUUGUAGUGCUAAGCAAAUACAGGAUAACUGCAGUCAAUAUGAUUGUUGAGAAACAGCAAAUAAUAUUUUUAAAAGUAUAUCAAGCCUUAAAAUAGCGCUUAUUCAAAAAAUGUAUCAAAACUUGUGCUGAUAUAUCUAAUUUUACACCUAGAAUUGGUUGAACACUUUUAAUUUCAGCCUUGAGUUUUUAAGGAGAAAAUGGGCAUCUUAAAAUAAAUAUUGGAGUACCAAGCGAAAAAUUGAAAGCUAUUUAAUAAUUAAAUAAUAGUAAAUAAAAUGACAACUUUUAAUAUGCGAC
Molecule: long non-coding RNA, 931 nt
Filed under: Acyrthosiphon pisum (pea aphid)
Lineage: Eukaryota; Metazoa; Arthropoda; Insecta; Hemiptera; Aphididae
Description: uncharacterized LOC115034472, transcript variant X2
Source: RNAcentral